UUGAAUUUGUUGUUUAGCGCGUAUGCAUUGCUUAUACUCACGCUGAUCCUCCAAUGACGACAGUGUAAGGUAAAGCCUAAUGAAUUAGCAUCUUCAUAACAAGAAUCUGUAUUUCUUCCUCUAUAAUGGCGCAGCAUUCAUUCGCAGGCAAGCAGGGGAAAGCAGGAAAAGGGGGACUAGACGGCACCGGCAGUAAGUGGCCAUCAUGCAGGUGCAUACACUGACAUUAUGCCUUGUCAUUUUACAUUAACAGGACACGAGCAGGAGAAUCGCAAGGAAUAGGACAAGCGCAAGGAUGGUGGUAAGGAUAUGAACAAGAGUCGGGCUCAAACGGGACGUGGCAUGCCACGUAGCGGCCGUUCGGAGGUAUGAAGCCUCUGGUUGCAAGACCAUGGCUAUUAACUAAAUGCUUUUUAUUGCCUUAUUUCGAGGCACGU
RNAcentral lists this long non-coding RNA (437 nucleotides) under Volvox carteri. RNAcentral's name for it is "long non-coding RNA (VCAR_LNC004111)". The record is from RNAcentral. Lineage: Eukaryota; Viridiplantae; Chlorophyta; Chlorophyceae; Chlamydomonadales; Volvocaceae.